RNAcentral lists this ribosomal RNA (433 nucleotides) under uncultured bacterium. RNAcentral describes it as "partial 16S ribosomal RNA". It matches the Rfam family "Bacterial small subunit ribosomal RNA", at positions 29 to 507 of the family's 1533-position model. The record is from RNAcentral.
AGCGAACGCUGGCGGCAUGCCUAACACAUGCAAGUCGAACGAGACCUUCGGGUCUAGUGGCGCACGGGUGCGUAACGCGUGGGAACCUGCCCUUAGGUUCGGAAUAACUCCCCGAAAGGGGUGCUAAUACCGGAUAAUGUCUUCGGACCAAAGAUUUAUCGCCUUUGGAUGGGCCCGCGUUGGAUUAGCUAGUUGGUAGGGUAAAAGCCUACCAAGGCGACGAUCCAUAGCUGGUCUGAGAGGAUGAUCAGCCACACUGGGACUGAGACACGGCCCAGACUCCUACGGGAGGCAGCAGUGGGGAAUAUUGGACAAUGGGCGAAAGCCUGAUCCAGCAAUGCCGCGUGAGUGAUGAAGGCCUUAGGGUUGUAAAGCUCUUUUACCCGGGAUGAUAUUGACAGUACCGGGAGAAUAAGCUCCGGCUAACUCCGUG